UGAUUGCUGUGCGGCGGCGACGGACGAGGAAGAAGAGAAGGACCGGUGUCUGGGCGGAGACGGCAGCCAUGCGAUCUGCCUGAGCUGCUUGGACUGGCCUUCCGAACGAGCCGAGCAGUUCGUCUACCCAAGGCCGGUGUUCCUGGGUGUGCUGGAAGAACAGGCCGGGCUGUCCUUGGGCUUCAACCGGCCUGCUCCACUGCUGGGCGAGCAUCCGACACCGGCAUGUUCCCGUGCAGCUAAGCCCUCCGAACGGUCUACCCUGUGGCGGGCAGACGUCCCGACCCAGCUGUCGCGCGAGUGGCUCGCCGUGUGACGGGCAUCCGCCCCGGCCUCCAGCACCUGCGCCACUCGCCGCUCCAGAUUCAUCUCUGCGCCUCUUCGUUCCGCCGUUUUCCUGCGCCCUGCCCUGGCCGAAGUGCACGUGGGACGGACCAGUCUGCACCAUAGAUUGCCACAUACGCCAGGCGCACAACGCACCCAUACUCGGUGUUCUUCUUUCGGAGGCGAGACUGUGGUGUUCGCCAUCGACGACGCGGACGGCGCCUAGUUCGUGAAGCGACGGCGCCUGCAGUCCUGGUUGGGACGAAACUUCCUGCUCGUCUUCUGGCGGGACCACGAGGACGCGAGCAAGGGCUGCUGCUUGGUGGCCCAGCUCGUCGGCGACCCCCGCGAGGCGGACAGGUUCACCUAC
Dermacentor albipictus is the source of this 694-nucleotide non-coding RNA. The record is from RefSeq and is a predicted model, not a curated record. Lineage: Eukaryota; Metazoa; Arthropoda; Arachnida; Ixodida; Ixodidae.